UUAAAAGGACUGUAGCUGUCAUUUUAUGCGUAUAGAUAGUACCCUUACAAGCGUUUUCUGAUCAAUAAUCUUUUCUUUCAAAAUUUCUUCAGAAGUUACGGAGAAAAAAUUGUCGUAAUUGAACACAUUUUUUAUCUGGAAACUAUUAUUGAUUAGCUGAAGAUUAAAGGGCACAUGUGCAAAUCGAAAAUUCCCAUUGUACGACCGACAUGCAGUCCCUUUAAGCUUGAAUUAUACAAAAAAAAUUUUAGGGAAAUCCGAGAAAUCAACGAAAAGAGAAAUCGGUUUGGAUAAACACCGAGACAUAGAAAACCGGGAUGAACCGGCUUGGUAAAACAUACACAUCUUGAAACCGGUUUUGUUAAGCAUCAACAGCUUGAAACUGGUUUGAACUAUUCUAGAACCGGUUUUUAUACCUUUUAACACCAAGAAACCGGUUUAGAUUUGUUCUAAAUGUAUUAACUGAAAUAAUUUUUUAUGUAAACUUUUAAAAUUGUAAUGUGUCUCUCUUAUCAAAAGUACUAAACAUAACCUUAAAAGUUCAAAUAAAAACAUUUCACUUCUAUUAUUUUCUUAACGGAUAGAAUUUGCUAUCUCUAAUUUCAUUAUUAAAAUCUAAUGAAAUGCCACCGAAUGUUGCCAAAAUAUACACGAUGUAGAAAAUGCUAAACAAUUUUUAAUUUCAAUUUUUGAAUUAUUAUCAACAUUCAACAACAUUCAACAACAAUAUUAAACAACAUUCAACAACGCAUUUCUAUAUCUCAAGGUUAUGUCUUUCCAGUAUCUAUUAUAUUAAGUAAUUAUAUAUAAAAAAUGUUUAAAGCCAACAGCAAAUUCGAAUUUUAUUAAGAUGAAAGUUCACCUAUUUUUUUCUAUGGUUGUAAAAUUCACAGUCCUAAUUCACCAGUGUUUGUACAGAUUGUACAUAAAUGUUUUCGUUAGUUUUGUAGUACACAGUGCAGUACUGUGAUAAACUCGUUAGGAUAAGUUUGCUCUGUGGCCUAAAGUUGCGGAUUCCUUUUUUUUGUUGCGAAUUUUUCCCAUUUUUGGAGGUUCCCUACCAAGUUUUUUUCCCAGGAAAAUUGUCUUUUUGAAUGUAUCAAAUUCUGUAUGCAUUCAAAAAUCAAAUGAAAUCUUGAUAACGUUUUUUUUUACAUGCAUUCCAAUUGUUCAUCCGAAAACUAUUUUUUAAAAAUACCCUCUUUUUAUAGAGUGGCAUGUAUUAUUCACAAUCGUGCCUUUUUCCCUUCAUGUGAGCUAAUUUAUCACUCUGUUAAACUGACUUGUAAUAAAUGUCAGAAAUUGACUGACUUCCACUUUUCAAAAUGAAGAAUGACUGUAUCUUCCACAUGCUCAGAUACUGACUUAAAGAGUACCCUUGUAAAUCAGGCACACUAAUGCUACAUUUUAAGAGAAGAAUUCUAAUUUAUACAUAUCCGGAUAUUCGGAAGAGAUCAUUUACUUUUUAAAAAGGUGUUUUUUGAAAUUUCAGCGUAAACAUUAUUUUUCAAAUUUAAUUUUUUGUCCUUUCUUUUCGAAAAUAUAAACCCCCGAAAGCCAUUUUUAUACUUUUUGUAUUUAUAUUUAUAAAUCAUAUGAAAAUACAUAUAAUUUGUACUUCUUGAAUUGAAUUGUGCACAAAUGUACCAAAAAUGCCUUACGGUUGUUAUCUUUGUACUUCCUUGUAUUUGAAAGCACAGAAAUAAAUGUUAGUUAAGAUGUUAA
Eurytemora carolleeae is the source of this 1725-nucleotide long non-coding RNA. RefSeq lists it as uncharacterized. Lineage: Eukaryota; Metazoa; Arthropoda; Copepoda; Calanoida; Temoridae. The transcript is spliced from 2 exons. The record is from RefSeq and is a predicted model, not a curated record.